This 433-nucleotide ribosomal RNA is filed under the name uncultured bacterium. RNAcentral describes it as "partial 16S ribosomal RNA". It matches the Rfam family "Bacterial small subunit ribosomal RNA", at positions 29 to 507 of the family's 1533-position model. The record is from RNAcentral.
AGCGAACGCUGGCGGCAGGCCUAACACAUGCCAGUCGAACGGAUCCUUCGGGAUUAGUGGCGGACGGGUGAGUAACACGUGGGAACGUGCCCUUUGGUUCGGAACAACUCAGGGAAACUUGAGCUAAUACCGGAUGUGCCCUUCGGGGGAAAGAUUUAUCGCCAUUGGAGCGGCCCGCGCCUGAUUAGCUAGUUGGUGAGGUAACGCCCCACCAAGGCGACGAUCAGUAGCUGGUCUGAGAGGAUGAUCAGCCACACUGGGACUGAGACACGGCCCAGACUCCUACGGGAGGCAGCAGUGGGGAAUCUUGCGCAAUGGGCGAAAGCCUGACGCAGCCAUGCCGCGUGAAUGAUGAAGGUCUUAGGAUUGUAAAAUUCUUUCAGCGGGGACGAUAAUGACGGUACCCGCAGAAGAAGCUCCGGCUAACUUCGUG